Long non-coding RNA from Suricata suricatta (meerkat), 146 nucleotides. RefSeq lists it as uncharacterized. NCBI's taxonomy places the organism in Eukaryota, Metazoa, Chordata, Mammalia, Carnivora, Herpestidae. The record is from RefSeq and is a predicted model, not a curated record. The transcript has 3 exons.
GUCACAGAGGAAGUCUCCUCUCUGGGAUAAAUGAAGUCAAUGUGCAAGGAGAAACAGAGCUGAGAGAGGGAAUGCUAAAGCAGACCUUAAAGACAAUUGCAACAGUGAUUUCAGUUCUCACCCAGACCUGCGGAAGAUGCCAGACC